Molecule: non-coding RNA, 6935 nt
Organism: Chlorocebus sabaeus (green monkey)
Lineage: Eukaryota; Metazoa; Chordata; Mammalia; Primates; Cercopithecidae
Source: RefSeq, a predicted model, not a curated record
UCUGAGCCCGAGGUCCCAGGUUGGCAGCAGCUCCGAGGGCAAGCUCUGUCCGGCCAGCGUCCACCCCAGGGAGCUCUGGGCUGUGGAGGAAGGUCAGGGGCCAGCUUGGAGAGGAAGGAGGGGCACAGAACACAGAGGCCCUUGGGCUGGUGCCUUGGUCAGCAAGAGGGGUCUCCCCAGGCCUCAGGCUGUGGCCACAGAGGGACCCCUUGGGGCUGGCUCCUUCUGGGGGCCUGGGGCAGGACUGGUGGCCACCUGCAGCAGCCGCAGGGCAGGUGGUUGGCAGAGGAUCCAGGAUGUCAGUCCCUCCUGGAUCUUGCCUGAGCUGGGCAGGGGAGCGUGGGGGAGAGGGCAGGCUGCCUGCGGCAGUUCUGAGCCCAGAAUGGCUGCGCACCUUCCCCUCCCUUCCCCCCACAGCGGCCACACCGGGGGAGGCAGCAUCCCCCACUUCUGUAGACUAGGAAACUGAGGCCCACGGCAGCAGGAACCGUGCCUCUGUCCCCCACACUCCAGAGACCUCUCGGGACUCAGAACCCCACGGGGGGAGGGAGAGCGCCAGGCCUGGGCACCAGCACAUCUGCCCACUGUUCCUGCGGGACCUCCGGACCCCACUCCAGCCGAGCGUCCUCCCCUGCUGGCCGCUGUGUCAGCCCACAGGAGGGCGUCCCUGCCCAGGCCCCAUGGGGUCCCUGACCCCAACUGGCAGAGCCCAGCACCGAGGCUGCGAGGGGGACCCGGGCCCAGCAGCAGGGGCUGGUCACAGAGCCGAGGUGGGGCCUUCCGUCCAUCAGUGUCCACGUGGGCCAGCCAAGUUGGCAAGGCGAGAAAGCCCAGGGCCCCUCUGAGGGCACCGCAGUGUCCGGCACCCCUCGGCCUCACUCACCAGUGCUGAGCAGGGCUCCGCAGCAGGACAGCAGCAGCCACGGCCGGAGCAUGGUGCACGGUGGAGAGGAGCUCGCGCUGGGCCCGGCAGGCCUGCUGCUGCCACCCGUGCGGCUCCAAUGGCCAGUCCUGGGAGCCUUAUAUAGGGUGGUGGGCCCUCCCCCGCCGCACCCGCCUGCGCCCCACGGUCCAGCCCCUUAAUCACCACUGCUGGCGGGCGCAGCGGUGGCCAAACAGGAUCUGGGCCUGCUUUAUCAGGACUCGGCUUUCUUUGGAAAAUCCUGCAGGCAACGGUCCCAUUAUCACCCACUCCCAGCGGGGGCUGACGCACGCACACCCCCGAAGGCCCUGCAAACACCCCCCACAUCGGGGCCAUCCCGGCCGGGCCCUCCCCGCUGCUGGGUCAACGUGGGCCCUGUCAGCCACCCGCCUGGUGGCCGGACAGGCCCGCUGGGGGAGGUAGGGGCCCUGGGGCACCUGCUCUGCCCCUUCUGGGGGGACCAGUGCUGACCCAGCUGGGGGGAGCCCUGCUACACCUGAAUCCCAGGGCCCCCGAAGGGCACUGGGCCCACCCCCACCCUGAGUCCCAGGACCCCUGAAGGGAGCUGGGUCCACCCCUCACCCUGAGUUCCCUGCCCAGCAGGAAAGAUCACCCAACAGGAGGGACCAUGCCAGGGGGCGUUGAGGACUGGGUGGACCCUGCCAGGGGGCAUUGGGGAGCAGGGGAUUUGCCGUCUGGGACAGACAACAGCCUUGGGGCUCAAACAGGCUGCCCUGGAGGCCUGAGGAGCUACCGUGUCUCUGUAGCCCGCCGGGUCCCAGGCUCGCUCCUGAAGACCCCUCCACAGCUAUUUUCUUCUCCCCCGAGCACUGUCGGCGGCCGUCUUGGGCACAGAAGCUCAGGGGCCGCUUGUCUGCUGGGGCAUCUGUGCAGGGCUGUGGGGUCGCUGGUGUGCUCCUGGGGGCAGGAACUGGGAUGACCAGGAGGCCUCACCUGUGGAGGCACGUGCCACGCCUGAGGGGCCAGGGCAAAGUCUGGGGACAUCGGGGUGGUGCCGGUGGCUGGCAGUGUGGGAGGGAGGUGGAGGUCUGAGCGGUCGCCGGGAUUGCCCCAGCCUCAUUUGGGAGCCCAGGGACCCCUCCCGCAGGGGAUUUUGGCCCCCUACCCCAACAGGAGCCCUUGCUGGCCUUGGGGCCAUUCCCACCACAUGCCAGCAUCCCAGCCUGAGCCAGGAGGGCCCCGAGGCCACCUGGUCUCCCUGGGCUGGGUUUCCCACAUGGGGCUGCACCCCCGUCCCACAGGUGAGCUGAGCCCGCUGGCUGGGACCUGGGCCUGCCACCUCUGUCCCACCUGUGCCCACUCGCCGGGGAGCCGCCCCGCCUGCCCCGGAAGAGGCUCCAGGGCCACACGUGCCCCACGCGGUAGGUGUCAGGUGUUUCACUUAAAUCAGCUUGUUUUGCAGAACGUUGCUUGAAAUUACAAUAAGUUGUUUUCGUAGGAAAUUACUGUACGUGUGCUACCCACCCCGAGAGCCCCACACCAGGCAUUCUGGGUGUUCCUGCUCUCAUCUGUUCUUUUUAUUUUUUAUUUUUGUAGAGACGAGGUCUCACGUUUUCCAGGCAGGUCUUGAACUUCUUGGCUCAAGAGAUCUCCUGCCUCAGCCUCCCAGAGUGCUGGGAUGACAGGCGUGAGCCACUGCAUCUGGCCUUGGCUGUCCCUUCUUAACACGCUCAGUGGCCCCUGUGGUUCAGGUGCCUCCAGGAGGCUUCCCUCAGAGGAGGCUGAGGCCCUGGGUCUGCUGGGACUCGUAUUCACGGAGGCGCUGGGAUGGACCUGCUGGUGGCCCCCUGCCCCUCGGCCAGCCCCUUCCCCGCCUCUGCCCUGCUGGGCCUUGUGGUCAGGUGUGACGUCCCCUGGAGGAGAACAGGUGGGGCUUCACCCCCAGAGGCUUGGCAGCUGGUCCCCAUCAGAUCAAAGGACUGAAAGCUGUGGCUUUGGGGAGUGUUCGGGAAAGAUUUCAAGCCCGGGAGUGGGCACGCGCCCAGGCUCGGAUCCCUGCCAUAUCCCGUCCGAGGCGCGGGUCCAGUGCUGGCCGGCAGAGCUCAGCAUGGCCAGCCAGUGCCCAGGUGCAUGCCCGAGGGGGCGCGCCACGGCUUCCUGUUGAUCCGGAUGCCCGAUGUCUUGGGAGGCACUGACCCUGUGCCAGGUCCUGGAGCCCACUGCUUGGGGAGGUGGUGGGAACCCCGAGACCCUGGGGACAGAGUGGCUGGAUGCAAAGUCCCCCAAGGGGCAGGGGGAUGGCAGGGAAGGGGCGUCAGGCCUGGGGGGAAGUCACCUGCCCCACCCUCCCUCCAAGGCCCUUGUGUGGCUGGGUGGGGCUGGCCCUGGGUCUUCUCCCUCUCCCCCGUCCCUGAGCGUCACUGGUGACCUCCCUGUGGACUUGUCCAGCUUGCCAGUACCCUGUGGUUUCCUGCGGUUUUACCUCCUGAGCAUGUUGAAACACUCCUAGUCCAGUUCCUGCCUGUGGCCACCCCCAUCGAAUCUGGCCUGCUGUGGCCCCCACCCUGCAGCCACGCGUGUGUGGUGCCCACUCAUCGUCUCCAGCACCUCAGAGGAGGCCCUGCCUGGCUCUAACACUCCCUGAGCUCUGACCUCUAUUCCCCUCCCUGGCCAACUCCUGCUCCUCCACCAGCCUUGCAGACCCCCCACCUCAGCUGCUGGAGUCCACCCUGCUGGAGGUAGAAACAGAGCCAGCUGCAUGCCACAGGUGAGGGCCUUCCCCAGGGCCUGGGGAGGGCCAGCAUGACCCCGGGAGGGCAGCUCACCCGGGCGACCACCAGCCCACCCUCCUCAGUGAGGCCCCACAGCCCCUGUCCAGUGAUGUUCGAGGGCCAGGGCUCCCUGGGCAUCCACCUGUCUGCACUUUCAGACUCGACUGCUUGGUGCCUGGGCUGGGAUUUGGGGGCACUGCCCCUCCCCCGUAUCCCCGGGACCCCCUUCAGGAGCCGGACACUCAGGUGUGCAUAGCCCCCACCCCCAGCCCAGCCCCAGCCCUGUGCUGUCCGCUGCCCACAGUCCACUGUGUGGCUUCGAGUGGACCAAAGGUCUUGUCUGGCUGCAGGAGGGGCCCUGGUAGUUGCUGGGCCUGGAGGUCGCUAGGAUGCUGGGCCUGGCCCCGGCUGGGAUGCUGGCCUGGAGGUGGCUGGGAUGCUGGCCUGGCCCCCACGUCCAGGGCAGGUUGAGGAGUGACCAGCAGGAACCACUGCCUAACGCUGGGCUCAGCCCAGGCCGGUAGACUCACGUUCCAGAAAGGGCUGGGGAACUUGCCACCUGCCCUCCUCCAGAGACGGGCCCUUGUCCUUUUUGUCUACUUAUGCCCCGUGCAGGAAGCAGGUCACGGUGGGCCGGGGCCCUCAGGAGCAGACACGUUUCAGCCGGGGGCGGGGGCAGGAUACUGGCUGCUGGGGCCAUUGACGCGGCACCACAGGAGGGGUCCUGGCCAGGUCACCCCUCCCUCCAGGUGGGAGCUUAGCUGGGGCGGGAUUCCCACCUCCCUGGGUGAGCAUUGCCGGCCGGUAACCUUGGGCAGGCACCCAGGAGAGGCCCCUGGCCUCAGCUCCUCUCACACCUUACUUGGGUACCUCUGAGCCCCAGGGUAGGUGGCCGAGUCAUCUCCCCGCUUGGCACCCCAAAUGCCUUCUCCCCUUUUCCCAUCCCAUGGGAGGUGGCUGUGUGCCACAGGUGAGGGUACAGAGCCCCCAGCUGCUCCCUGGGAGGAGCAGGGCCUGUCAGACCCGCCCCGAGAGUUUCACCCCCUGCCGUGGGGCCCUGAGCAGGCCCUCUUGGGACAGAGCCUUCCGUGCCGGGGUGACUGUGCCCCACCAGCCCCGAGGGGAAGACCAGGAUCCUGAGGGCUGGGCUGUACCUCCGAUGUCCUGGGGCAGAUGUCCAUGCAUUGCCAACUCCAGGCCUGAACCCAAGGCGCCCUCAUCUGAGCACCCACAGGGAGAGGCUGCCAGGACGGCUGGGUGUCCAGCCGACUGCCCCGCCUGGGCUCUGGAGCUGAUAACCAGCGGAUGAGGAGUGAAAUGCAAACAGAUAAGGUUGUUGGGAACUGGGCGCCCUGGGCUGCUCUGGGCUGGCAGCCGUGGGGCACCACACUGCCCGGGGCCAGGGCUUAUCGGGGCACCUUUUGCCUUCAAUGAGUGUGGCUGGACGGGGAGUUAGUAAGGGCUUGCUCUCCGAGGGUGGCUGGUGUGGGGGCUUUGAGGAGGGUGGGGGGACCUUGGACUGCUGACUCGGGGACUCUGGAGGCUGCUGGUCAGGUGGGGGUGGAGGCCAAGCUGGAGCUGAGGCUCAUGAGACCACCUCUUUCCCAGGAAUCCUCAUCCCUCUCAUGGGGGUGACGUUUAUGGGGUCCCUUUGGGGAGCCCAGCAGGGCCCCAAAAGCAGAAGUCAAAUGGCCUCUGAGGGCAGGUGCCACUCACAGCAAGUGGGCUCUGGGCAGCCCAGGGCGAGACGAAGGGCUUCCCGGGCCCCCAGAAAAGCUCCAGGUGUUGCAGCCAGACCCGAGUCUCUCUCAGGAAUCACGUCCAGGGCCCUUCCCAGGCGGUGGGACGUGCAGUGGGGGCAGCCACUGAGGCCCAGGCAAGCAGGGGUGACGGGACAGGUCCUGGUCCAGAGGGUCCUGGGGGAUGCUGGCAUGGCUGGCGUGGCCUGCGGAGAGCCAAGGAGCCCCCAGGCUCACAACAGCUGGCUCUUCGGGUGUUGUUCGGGGGAAACACAGUGGAGGCCAGAAGGGAACAGGCGGUUUCCCAGCCACUCACACCAGGUGCCGGUCCAGGGGAACUUUGGGUCUGAUCUGCUGCCCUGUGGCCGUGAGUGCUGUGUGGCCCAUGGGGGGCCCCGUGCACAUGGCCCGCAGGGUCAGGAGUUGGGGGCCCAGAACACACAGGCCUGGCAGAAGCCCAGGUGGCACAGACGUGGCCCUACAGCUGGGCUCGGGGCUCGGGAAGCCAGAGGCUCAGGCUCUCCCAGCUGGUGUCAGGGCUGAUCGGGGCUGAGACCGGUCAUCAGAGCAGCCCAUGUCCACCGUCCACUGUCUCAGCAGCUCCCCAGGGGUCCCCCAAAGCCCAACCCUCCCCCAGAUGAAAGCACAAGCAGGGCGGCCGAGGAGCACCCCCCGGCUUACCCAGGAGCCUGGCUCAAGACUGGUGGCCAAGUGCACCCUUGCUGUAGUGGCAGCUGCCUCCAGUCCGGACGCCACCGACUCUUGGGGGCAUGGCCAGUGCCUGAGGCGGAUGCGUGCACACACAUGCUCCCAGGAGCUGUUUGUAACAACCCCAACUGGAAAUGACCCAGGUGUCCAUCGGUGGUGAACACAGCGUGGCCCGUUCGUCUGCUCAUCCUGUUUCAGCAAUUACAAACGAAGCAGUAGAACAUGCACGUCUGUGUCUCAGAGGAGCCUGUGCUGCCACUUCUCCCAGUGUGAACUGCUGGAUCACGUGGUUGGCAUCUGAAUUUUUCAGAAACUGCCAAACUGUUUAAUGGGACGGCUGUGCCAUUGUGCCUCCCACCCGUGAUACGCGUUCCAGCCCCUUCUCACCCUCCUGUAUGCUUCGCGUCGUCCGUUUUUAAAAUGUUAGCCAUGCUAACAGGCGGGCAGUGCUAUCUGACUGUGGUUUUAAUCUGAAUUUUCCUAACGACUAAUGACAUUGAGCAUCUUUUUAUGUGUUUAUUUGCCAUCCGCGUAUCUUCUUUGUUGGAGGGUCCGUUCUAACGUGUUGUCCAUUUUAAAACUGGGUUGCUUCGGUGUUGAGAGUUCUUUCUAUAUUCUGCAUUCGAGUCCUUCACUAAAAAUACAUACUUGGCAAGGAUUUUUCUCCCAGUCGGGGCUUGUCCUUUUAUUCUCUUAAUUGUGUCAGAAGAUACUAUUAACUGUCAAAACUUCUGUUCAAAAGAGCGAAAGUUCAUUCUUUCCCUCCCUCCCUCCUUUCUUGCUUUCUUGCUCUUUCUUCCUUUCUUUUUCUUUCUCUCUUUCUUUCUUUCGACG